UUCUCCUUCCUACUCUGCAACCCCUCAGCCUGUUGCAACUUAUGAAAGGUAUCAAAGCCAGUGGAAAAACACCAGGUCUUGAUCUACGAACUCCCUGCAGACAUCCUAGGGGUAUUCCAGGGACAAGGAGGAUGCAUGAUCUCCCAGAAAUUAGUGCCUCCACUGUGACCAGUGUGAAUUAAAACAAAAUUCUAAGAUGCCUGCCAACUGAACAGACUCCUUCUCAGCCAAGAGGAUCCCAGAGGAACGUUAAAACUGAGUUCCCAGCCAUGAUGGAUUGGGAGUAGAGAUGGGGUCUCACUCUUGCUCAGGCUGGUCUC
This is a long non-coding RNA of Lemur catta (Ring-tailed lemur), 320 nucleotides long. RefSeq lists it as uncharacterized. The transcript has 3 exons. The record is from RefSeq and is a predicted model, not a curated record. Lineage: Eukaryota; Metazoa; Chordata; Mammalia; Primates; Lemuridae.